Molecule: long non-coding RNA, 171 nt
Organism: Amphibalanus amphitrite
Lineage: Eukaryota; Metazoa; Arthropoda; Thecostraca; Balanomorpha; Balanidae
Exons: 3
Source: RefSeq, a predicted model, not a curated record
CUGGGGAGGUGAGAAGGCCAUCACCGGACACACUGCGCAAAAGAAGCCAGGCGAGACAUUUCAAAAGGACAUGAUCCAAUAGUCGCAUUAAGAUUUGAGCAGCUCGAACGCCUCCUCCCUGAAGACGAAGUAGACGAAGUCGGCCGUCUCGAAGGAGCCGACGAACUGGGG